Molecule: ribosomal RNA, 253 nt
Filed under: uncultured bacterium
Lineage: Bacteria
Description: partial 16S ribosomal RNA
Rfam family: Bacterial small subunit ribosomal RNA
Source: RNAcentral
UACGUAGGGUGCAAGCGUUGUCCGGAAUUAUUGGGCGUAAAGAGCUCGUAGGCGGUUUGUCGCGUCGACUGUGAAAACCCGAGGCUUAACCUCGGGCCUGCAGUCGAUACGGGCAGACUAGAGUUCGGUAGGGGAGACUGGAAUUCCUGGUGUAGCGGUGAAAUGCGCAGAUAUCAGGAGGAACACCGGUGGCGAAGGCGGCAUCCUGGACCGGCAUUGACGCUGAGGCGCGAAAGCCAGGGGAGCAAACGGG